AACGAACGCUGGCGGCAUGCCUAACACAUGCAAGUCGAACGAGACCUUCGGGUCUAGUGGCGCACGGGUGCGUAACGCGUGGGAACCUGCCCUUAGGUUCGGAAUAACUCCCCGAAAGGGGUGCUAAUUCCGGAUAAUGUCUUCGGACCAAAGAUUUAUCGCCUUUGGAUGGGCCCGCGUUGGAUUAGCUAGUUGGUAGGGUAAAAGCCUACCAAGGCGACGAUCCAUAGCUGGUCUGAGAGGAUGAUCAGCCACACUGGGACUGAGACACGGCCCAGACUCCUACGGGAGGCAGCAGUGGGGAAUAUUGGACAAUGGGCGAAAGCCUGAUCCAGCAAUGCCGCGUGAGUGAUGAAGGCCUUAGGGUUGUAAAGCUCUUUUACCCGGGAUGAUAAUGACAGUACCGGGAGGAUAAGCUCCGGCUAACUCCGUG
This 433-nucleotide ribosomal RNA is filed under the name uncultured bacterium. RNAcentral's name for it is "partial 16S ribosomal RNA". It matches the Rfam family "Bacterial small subunit ribosomal RNA", at positions 29 to 507 of the family's 1533-position model. The record is from RNAcentral.